Long non-coding RNA from Mus musculus (house mouse), 323 nucleotides. RefSeq annotates it as predicted gene, 38762. The record is from RefSeq and is a predicted model, not a curated record. NCBI's taxonomy places the organism in Eukaryota, Metazoa, Chordata, Mammalia, Rodentia, Muridae. The transcript is spliced from 3 exons.
CAUUACAGCUGAAAGGGAAAGCCAGGCCUCUGUGUGCUUGCUCUGCCCUGCAGUGUAUUUGAGAUUGUGGACAUGGUGUGGUCUUUUGCCUGAUGUUCAUUCUAAGAGAAGCCAGGGAUGGUCCCGAGCUUUGAGAGAGGCGUUGGAAUGGACUUCCCAUCUUUGGCUGAAUGCAUCCACAGUGGAUUGAAAGGAUCUGGGUUCUCUCCUUGUUUUUUUCUUGAAAGCUAAUUUCAAUGAUUGGUGUAAGAGGUUUCUACUCCAGCUCUGAAGAUAUUUUAUGUUGCCAAUCUUGGCUUAUAAUGAUUUCAAUUUAUAUAAAU